Molecule: transfer RNA, 74 nt
Filed under: Allostigmatella aurantiaca
Lineage: Bacteria; Pseudomonadati; Myxococcota; Myxococcia; Myxococcales; Archangiaceae
Description: Stigmatella aurantiaca threonine tRNA
Rfam family: tRNA
About the family: Transfer RNA (tRNA) molecules are approximately 80 nucleotides in length.
Source: RNAcentral
GCCGGUGUAGCUCAGCUGGUAGAGCAACUGAUUUGUAAUCAGUAGGUCGCGGGUUCAAGUCCCGCCGCCGGCCA